CCUAUGGGAAGAAAAGGAGGAGAAGUUUGGGAAUCUUGCUGCUGUCGUGUUUUUUCCUGCAAUGGAGCCUAUUGCUGAAUUUUAAUAUCAAUCAUAGGCUCACACUCACAGAACCCACCCUCUGGCAGUGUGAAGCCAUUCCCCUUUGUCCUGUCACUCCAGGCCCUUGUCCAAAGUCCCUCACCAGCUCCUUUGGAGCCCUUUUAGGCACUGGAAGGGGCUGCAAGUCCUCUUGGGAGCCUCCAGGCUUCACCCCACUGUGCCUUGGUGCUGCAUGGCCCUGUCCUAACUGGAUUUGAGGACAAAAGCAGGUUUGGAACCAGUUUUCAGCUCUCCCACCCUUUGUGGCCACCCCUCUUCAAUCUGCCUGUGCUCAGAGUGGUUUGUGCAGGAGGUGCCUGGACUGCAGAGCUUUCUCAUGUUCCCUGCCAUGAAUUAUUCCCCUCGGAGUAACUGAGACAGCAACAUUAACACCGAGGCUGCUGACAAGGGCCGUUAGACUCGUCUCCAGCUCUGCCUGCAGGGAAUUGCCUGUUGCUGCUGGCAGGGCUCUCAGGGGACACAGCAGAGGCUGUAACCUGACCUGUUUCCCUUUGAUUCGUCUCACUUUGCAGCAGGAGCCACCAGCUGUCAGAACAGGGUGGUAUAAAAAUCAGAAUCAUUAAGGUUGGAAAAGGCCUCUAAGAUCCACCCCAGCACUGCUGAGCCACCAUGUCCCCAGAUGCUGUGAUCAGGGAGACAGAACUGCCAAAAUAUCAAGAGUAUGGUUCUAGAAUAAAGAAAAGGAAAGGGAGCACACAGUCACUCAUCUUCCAGAACAAAAGGACAAAGGCAGCUUCCAAAAUGAAGAGUCACCACUUUUUCCUCAGCUGUCUUCCUGUGGAAUCUACAGGCCUGGCCAAAACACCCACGAAUAUUUUUCUGGAUUUGCAGUCACAUCCAGCAUCAGUCACCAGUCAUUCCCUCUCUCAACUUGCCUCCAGGAGCAGGUAACCUUUUAAUUGUCAAAGUAAUUGCAGAACUUUGGAACUCCAUGUCUUUGCCCAGCAUUGCUGGCUCUGGGAAGAACAUCUUUAUAGGAGAAGUCACGGACAAGACACUCUAUCCUAAUAAGGGGUGGUGGUAACCCUCACACUCUCUGAGUAAAUCCCAUUUUGGGGGGAGUCAGGGGUGUUUUUUUCUCCCCUCCCAGUUACCUGGGAGCUCAGCCAGUCUCUGUGCUUCUCGGAAUCAAUUUCCAUUGGAAUGUGAUUCAUCUGGGUGACCCACACGAACCAGUGGCUCUCCAGAAACCUGCAAAGCCAGGAAAAAUUGUGACAAUUUCUGCCAGAUGUGGAGACAUCAGGUGGGGUUUGCAGGGAGCAGCAGAGACUUGGAUGGAUGUUGACAAGGAAUUGCCUGGAAUCAUCCUCAUUCCAGGCUUGUUUUCUGAAAGAGCAGAUGAUCUGAUUUUGCAAUUUUGCUUUUUUUUCUUGCACUUUCAGUUUCAUCAAAAAUUUUGGGAAUAAUGGGCCAGUUGUGCUAAGUUUUCCAGCUUCAUUUCAGACUUGGAGCUUGCACAGGAUUACCUCCACAGUCAGCUGGGAAGAGGGCGGGAUGAGACACUCUGGGAGGGUCCAGCCAUGACCAAAGUGGGAUCAGCAGUGUGUGGGAACAGGGAAUGAGGAAAGGGAGGAGAAUCCUGGCUGGACCAUGGUGGGGCAGGGGGAGAUGCAGGUAGGAGAAGAUGUCGAGUGCCAGAGGAGCUAGAAUUGGGAGGGAAGCCAGAAUUCCUGAGAGGGAAGUGAAGCAGUGGGACACAGCAGAGCUGAGGCCAGGCUCAAACAGCACUGGAGGGAUGGCAGAGCAGCAGGGAUGCCCUUGAGCCCCUACCUGACAAACGUGAGGAGACCCAGGGAUCCCAGGAUGCCAUAGAACGGGAUGUAGGUGAGGAAGUAGCGCAGGUAGUAGCUGAUGGCCCAGGCCAGGUCCUGGGGGGAGAGAGAAAACACCAGGCAUCACUUCGCCCAUCUUGGGUAACGUGUCCUUGCUGGGGAUGUUGGGAACAGUGGGUAAUUCCUGCUGGGCCCCUGGCCUCCCUCUCUGCUCCAGUUUCCUGCCAGACCCCAUAAGGAUGGAGGGAAUGUUUCACUCACCGCCCAGAACCUGCGCCUGAUCAUGGUCGAGAUGAUUUGGAUUUGGAAAUACACAGGGAUGAGCAGAGGCGGGAAGACUGCAAGGCAAAGGGAAAUGGUUUGGCCAUCAGAGGGGUGGGAAGGUGUGUGGCAUGAGGGACUGCUUCCAUGGAACUGGGAACAUGCAGUUUUUCCAUGGAGCCUCUCACAUGGAGGUCAUUCCCAGCCUCAGCUCUUUUACAUUCCCUUGCUCUACAGGGCAAUGUUCCAGGUGUUUGGACAUCCCUGAGCUGAUUUUGGGAGCUGCACAGGGUCCUGAGGAAGGGUGGGAUGAGCUGGGAUUUGAAGAGUUGCUCUGCUCACACAGUGAGGGCUGGAAAGGACAAGUGGCAUUCCAGGAAAAGGGAAGAGAGGAGGGUGGAUACUCACUGAGGAAGAAGUACUCGUGCUGGUGGUUGUAAGGCAGGUACUUCAGCUUCUUCUUGCCAUACUGCAGGACACAAGGACACAGCUCAGCCUGGGAUCAGGAUGUUCCCAGGUAAAAGCAGAUUCUCUGCAAUAAUUCCUAAUUUAUUGACCAGGGAGUUUUGACUGAAUUCCCACCAGCAAUUUGGUGUGAUUAAAUAUCCUGACUUUGUCCUUGUGUUAGGUGUAAACUCAAUUUUUACAGAUAAUCUCUAUUUAUUUGAUGGGAUUUUGAUGCACUUCGCCUGCUGCCAUCCCUGUGUCUGUGAUAAGAACUGCCAGCACCUCCAUCUUUACUAAUAUCAAUGUGACAGGGAUGAAGUCUGAUUUUUUGGAAGGGAAGGCUUGUAGCACCGACAAAUCAGGCACAUUAUUCCCUCUGGGCUGAGCUCUGCAAGGCUGUGCACUUGGCAUCAUCUGGAAAAGGAUUCUAUACCAGCGUGAGAAUAUUAGGAUAGACUGAUCCAGGCCUAAUAUUAGAUAUUUUGAGGAGGAAGUCCAGUUUUCCUUGUUACCACAAAUGUUUAGGUUUUCCUUUAAGUCUGCUUUCUCAAUAAUACAAAAUCUGGCUGAGAAACCAUUUUUAAUGUUGUAUUCCCCUGUGUUGUCUUUGCUGCUUGUCCAUUUUCUUGGGGUUUUGCUUUUAAAACUAGAAACCCUUGUUCCAUUGUGAAAACCACCACAAUUUAAGUGCUUUGCAUAGGUUUUUAUAAACAGGCAGUAAAUAUUUUGGCUCUGGAGGGGCAGAUUGAAUUAAAAUUAAAAUCACUUGAUGCUGGAAGACAUUUGCUAUGGAAAUGGAAGGUUAGUUUUGAAAUGCUCCUGCUGGAAUACUGAGGAACACCAUAUUUCCCCCUCAUGCUGGCACUUCAAGCCAGCAGGAUGAAGUGGCCUUGAGUGGCUUUCUGCUUUCUCUCCAAGCCCAUCUGCAUUAUUAUUCCCGAGUUAGCCCAGGACACUGUCUCCUGUGGUCAGCACAGGAAAUGGAUUGGGAAUUAAUAGUCAGUGCUGCUCCUCAGCGCAAGGGUUGGCUCCAAACUCCUGUCAGACAACGUAGCCAGACAAAAUCCCUGGAUUAAGCAUUUCCUUUCUAGCAUUCCUGGAAGUCCUGCCUGUGUAAGUCAUGUCUAACAAUGGGAGCCAACUCCUGGAUUUGCACAACCACUCUCUGAGGGCCCUCUCAGACAGUAGGUUUCCACGUUUUCCCCACUUUUCCUUACCUCAACAGGCUGUGUGUCCCCAAGGACAAAAAUGUGCAGCAUGUUCACAUCUGGGUCCUUCUUGAAGAUGUUGGGCUUGGCGUGGUGCUGGAAGUGGCGGUGGUUCCACCAGUUUGCAGAGGCACCCUGGGCAAGGAGAACAAGGAGUUUUCAUCCAUGGGGAGCUGCUCCCAAGGUGGGAUUACCCCAUCAUUUAUGAGAACUAAAGUGGUGAGACUCAGGUUGUGGCCAAAGUGGGAUUUGCUUUGGAAAGAGCAGCAGGCAGGGAGUGCUGGAGUUGUUGGUUGCUAUGAGACUGCUGGUUCCAGAGGGAUCCCCAAGGAUCAUCCAUAUUGAAAGAACAUGGAAUAAAUACACUCUGAGUGAGUUACAGGUCACUGUGUCUUCCCAGAAAAUGCUGGAAUGGUUUGGGUUGGAAGGGACUUUAAAGCUCAUCCAGUCGCAGCUCCCUGCCAUGGGCAGGGACACCUUCCACUAGCCCAGGCUGCUCCAUGGACAAUGGUCACCAACUUUUUUUGUGCCUCUGCUCACUUUGGGAAGGCUGAGAGCCUCCCUUUCCUACUGGGCCACAGCCAAAGGGAUGGAUUCCCAGAAUUCCCUGGCUCCAUAAUUCCCUUUACCUUCAGGUGUCCAAUGACAAACUUGUGGAAGAUGUGGUUCCAGGAAGACUUCUUGAAGACAGAGAGGUGUCCAAAAUCAUGCUGCAGCCAGCCUGCCUGGGCCUGGGAUGAGGGGAAAUCAGAUAGUUAGGAAGCUAUUGGGAAUCAGAGCUAAGCAGGAAAGAAAUGGAGAUGGAGGGCAUGUUGGGAGUGUGAGGAAGAGCCCUCUUUGUCACCUGGCAAGUUGUAAGGAUGCAGGCAAGGAUGAGGGUUGUGAUCCAGCCGGUCCCAAAGUAGGAAACCAUGAGCCAAGCCAAAACUUCCAUGGCAAUGAUGUGGCCCAGGUAAAGGGAGAAGAACAAAGGGCUGGCUUGGAACAGGUUCAUGUCCUCCACUGUCUUCCGCAGGGUCCGGAAAUCCUCCACCAGCUGGGACUGCAACGGGACAGGCAAGAGCAGGGUGAGGCUUGGGAGUGAGCCUGGAUGAGUUGCGGGAUGGAUGGAUGGAUGGAGGAAGGAUGAGCUCCGUGCUAAGGACCCUGGCUUCAUAUUCCAGCUUUUUGCCCUGUAUUCCUAGGAAUAAGCAUCCUGGCUGGUCUGAGCCCACAUCCUGCCCUUUUGGACCUGGAGCCAGGAGAGUAAUCCAAGCUCUGUUCAGUGUCCCAUCACCUGAUGGCUCUUGUCUGAAUGAGCUUCCAAGCACCAAGAGAAGCUGGAGCAAGAGGGAAUUCAGUGCUAUUGUGCCUAAUUCCAGAGCUCUGAUAAUGAGCACCCACUAUCACCUGUCAUCCAUUCAAUCCAUGGGCCAGCUCCUGUGCAGCCAUCCAUGAGGAGCAUUGCUGGGUCACUGGGGGCCAGCACUGUCCCCUCUAUUGUGAGUGACACAGAUAUCUCACAAUCAUGGCCAGCCACAAACAACGGGGCAGGAUUGAGUUUCCUGGCCAGUUGUGCCACGCUCUGGGCCUGAAUAAUGGAUGAGCAGGGAUCCAGAGCUGCCCUGGGGAUGGGCAGUGGCUGCUGCUCCUUAGCACGGCCACCGAAGCGAGACUUGUGUUUUGGAGCUUGGUCACCAGCAAAGGAGCAGCAGAAGGGACCCUGGAGCUGGGGCACAUUUCCCAUUCCACAUGUCUCAGUUCCCAUUUCCCGUCAGGAUGGGAUCAGUCCAGCCUGGGUGCCUGGAACAGGCUGCCAGAAAUUGGCUGUUGGUGGCUCUGUGGGAAAGGCAAGGUUUGUACGGCCAAAAGUGUCACCCCCUUUCCACACACAUAUGAUAGGAUGCAAAUACUGCUACACGGAGAUGUUCAGUCACUGAGAACUCUCCCUCUCUGGAGAACAUCCCAAGAGGGAAAAACCAGUGGGAAUAGCCACCCUGAACCCCAGCUGAGGAGCAAAAACUCACAUUUUUGUCUCGGUCCUGGCUGGGCUCCCCUGGAGCGAGUUCUCCGAUAAGCAAGGGCUUGAGAAACUUCUGCACCAAGGUGGGAUUGAUGUGGAAGGCCUGGAAUGCAUCCUGGAGUGGAAACAGGAGGAACUGUGUGAGAUCCAGAAGUCAGAUGUGCGUCCUAUUCACUGUGACAUUCCCACCCACCUCCAGCAGUUGUGGAACCUGUGGAAGAGGGGGGCCAGGUGACCUCCAGCUCUGUGAUCACUGUUUGGGACAUUAAUUCCACUAAAGCCUGAUGAAUUUGCUGUCCUGGGAAGGGUGAGACCUGGGAUGGCAUCCAGCCAUAUGGUGAAAGGCACCUCAAGAAAUUCUUUCUAAGCAACUAAAUACUUAAAUCCUGUUAAUUCCCUUAGAAGGUAGGCAGAGGGGAAUUUGUGCAAAUCCUUCCUUAGGAUAAAAAUACCCUUGGAAAGUCUGCUCGUGGAGGCAAGUCAAGAGCGGGGGUGACUGUGGUGACUGAAGCUGGAUGUGACUGCAAACACAAAAAAUAUUCCUGGGUGGUUUGGCCAGGCCUGGAGAUCCCAGCGGUAAAACAGCGGAGGAAAAAGUGGUGACUCUUCAGAAUAAUGCCUUGUUUGUGGAGUCAUGUUGAUCCUGGCAUUCAUGAGCUUAUCUGACUCUUCUUUUUCUCUAUUCCUUCCCCUUCCACAUAUUUUUGUCUACCUGUAUCCCACAGGUGCCUGAUGCUCAUGAGAUCUUGGCCAGAUCCUUUCACAUGGCACAGUUGGAAUUUUAACCCCAAGGACAGCAGCAGGGCCAGAAAGCUGACCCAGAUCAGAAACCCUCACUCUGUCCUUGCCCUUUCCUCACUGCACAGAACUGGAGUCAGCUCUUGGAAUUCACCUGGGAGAACUGGAAAUAUUGGUUCCAUAAAGUGCUGAGAGAGUAUGGAAAAAAAAAAAAUAGUUAAAAACAGGAGUCAGGAGCACCGUGCUCUGGCCUUUCCACCCUUGUCCCGUUGCCUAAGAACUGUAGGGACAAACUAAAAUCUCCCUCCUGACUCUAAAGAGAAAGGGUGGAUUGAAAAGUGCUCCCUCUGUCCAGCUGACCCUUCUGGGAGCUGCCCUCCAUCAAAAGUCUGGGGUUCAAACGAGCCAGGCAACGACCUCGGGCCCAAGGCCCACCAAAAUCAAUAGAAACUUGAACCCAUAAAUGUGUCACUGAAAUGUUGACUCUGGUUCCUGUUUUCCUCCUCUGGUAUGAUUUGCAGAAGAUGUGAAAGAGGAAGGAAAAGCAGAAUGAGGGGGGAAGUGAAUAGCUGACUGUGCCUACUGCAAGGCUCUGCAGUUUUGGGUGAAAAAAAAGGGGAAGAAAGGGAAAGCGAGAGAGGGUGACACAUGAGAAGCGUUAAAAAAUGUCCAUUCAAUACUAUUUUAACUGCUGGGAAUAAAAAAGUCUUUGGAGGUCUGAUUGGGUGCUCACUGCCUGGAGAUCCUGCAAGAGACGGAAGGAUUGGAUUUUUAUUGUGUGUAUCUCAUGAAGCUCCUAUACUAAUAGGUCCCAAAUAUAAGAUAGCACCUGGAUUUUGGAAUUGUCCUCAGUUCUGUACUGCAGGUGAUAAAAAGCUUAAGGAAGAAGAUAAUCUCUGAGAAAUGCUGUGUGAUGUUGGCACUUGACCUCCCAACUUUGUGAUCUACUGACCAAAUAAACCGAAGUGUUUUAUGGGA
Molecule: long non-coding RNA, 7508 nt
Organism: Corvus hawaiiensis (hawaiian crow)
Lineage: Eukaryota; Metazoa; Chordata; Aves; Passeriformes; Corvidae
Exons: 2
Source: RefSeq, a predicted model, not a curated record